Molecule: long non-coding RNA, 809 nt
Organism: Schistocerca nitens (vagrant locust)
Lineage: Eukaryota; Metazoa; Arthropoda; Insecta; Orthoptera; Acrididae
Exons: 3
Source: RefSeq, a predicted model, not a curated record
CGUGUGGUUAAGGAGCUCAGCCCGUUGGAAGCGGCGAUGUGGUGGGUGGUGGUCGGCGGGAACCCCGCCCGAGUGCGGACCAGCUGGCCCAGCCACGGCCCACGGCGGCCCCGGGGGCGGCGGCGGAGCGCCGGGGCCGCUUCUGACGACACCGGCCGACUCGGCUCUUCUCAGAACUGCCGCACGCGUAAAAUGAAGGGCUUGAAGAAGAUGUAAAAUUCAACAGUUCAGCCAGUGAUUGGAGUGUCGCGAAGUUGGAACGCAGCUACAUGUGGAUGCUGAUCAGCCUGUGACACUCAUCCCAGGAUGCCGAAGACAUUCAUACUUCUCAAGAAACAAACUCGCAAGGAUCGGAGGAUACAACAUUACCGCUGUCGGCCACAACAAGCACAAGUUGAAAUUCUAAGCAGUCUGCGAGGGAUAAGGAAUUGUUGCAUUUGAAAAAUGCAAUAGAUGCCCUGAGGACAAUAUUAAACCAUCCUGGCGAACAAGCCAGCUUCCUAUGAGCACAGCUGCACAAUAUUCGGGGUCUACUCAGAGACUACAAUACGGAGGCAAUGGCGGAUGUACAGAAAGUCAUAUCAGCGAAAUGAGAAAGUUUCAAGUCUGAAAGUCGGAGAAAAGAAGCUAUUGGCUACAAACACUAUCGUGCUAAAUAUGUAUAUAGAUAGCAGGCAUUCAGAUACGUUUACGUUGGUUAUCGGUUUAUCAUGACACUGUUUAGUAAGAACUGUAAACGCUUUGUGUUAUAUCUGUAUGUCAAUUUCUAUCGUUGUUGUAUUUUAUUAAAACGUACAUGGCAUAGAAAA